AGUCGACUACGAGUUCCAAGAACUUUUGUGCCUUCGGGAAGUGUGAGACAGGUGCUGCAUGGCUGUCGUCAGCUCGUGUUGUGAAAUGUUGGGUUAAGUCCCGCAACGAGCGCAACCCUUAUCCUUUGUUGCCAGCGGUCCGGCCGGGAACUCAAAGGAGACUGCCAGUGAUAAACUGGAGGAAGGUGGGGAUGACGUCAAGUCAUCAUGGCCCUUACGACCAGGGCUACACACGUGCUACAAUGGCGCAUACAAAGAGAAGCGACCUCGCGAGAGCAAGCGGACCUCAUAAAGUGCGUCGUAGUCCGGAUUGGAGUCUGCAACUCGACUCCAUGAAGUCGGAAUCGCUAGUAAUCGUGGAUCAGAAUGCCACGGUGAAUACGUUCCCGGGUCUUGUACACACCGAGGG
Molecule: ribosomal RNA, 409 nt
Filed under: uncultured Shigella sp.
Lineage: Bacteria; Pseudomonadati; Pseudomonadota; Gammaproteobacteria; Enterobacterales; Enterobacteriaceae
Description: bacterial SSU rRNA
Rfam family: Bacterial small subunit ribosomal RNA
Source: RNAcentral